Culicoides brevitarsis is the source of this 392-nucleotide long non-coding RNA. RefSeq lists it as uncharacterized. The transcript has 3 exons. The record is from RefSeq and is a predicted model, not a curated record. NCBI's taxonomy places the organism in Eukaryota, Metazoa, Arthropoda, Insecta, Diptera, Ceratopogonidae.
CACACGAUCAUCCGGCUUUUGCAGUUCUAGUAGAACACACGACUAAUGUGUUUGUUCGUCCGGAUUCAAAGAAACUCAACAGAAGAUGUUACAAGACCUGUUUGUGGUGCGUUUAUUUGGAGACAACGACGACGACGACGACGAACGACAAAGUUGAUGACAGCAAGGAUGUGAUCAUUUAUCAAGUUAUAUUUAUUGAUCACUUCACUUUUUUUUCUCUCUGGAUUCGAGAUAGAAAGUAUCGAAUGUCCGGUUAAUGUUUAUGGAUUCAAAGGAAAUAUUAAAGUUUGUUUACCAAAUGUCCCAAAAAAAAUUUUUUUUCAAGAGGUUUUACGGGAAUUUUAACCCGUUAUGAGAUGGGUGGUCGUAAAAAUUAUUAAAAAAAUAACAAA